Molecule: ribosomal RNA, 729 nt
Filed under: Bacillus sp. CSu1_18
Lineage: Bacteria; Bacillati; Bacillota; Bacilli; Caryophanales; Bacillaceae
Description: bacterial SSU rRNA
Rfam family: Bacterial small subunit ribosomal RNA
Source: RNAcentral
GCAAGUCGAGCGGACAGAUGGGAGCUUGCUCCCUGAUGUUAGCGGCGGACGGGUGAGUAACACGUGGGUAACCUGCCUGUAAGACUGGGAUAACUCCGGGAAACCGGGGCUAAUACCGGAUGCUUGUUUGAACCGCAUGGUUCAAACAUAAAAGGUGGCUUCGGCUACCACUUACAGAUGGACCCGCGGCGCAUUAGCUAGUUGGUGAGGUAACGGCUCACCAAGGCAACGAUGCGUAGCCGACCUGAGAGGGUGAUCGGCCACACUGGGACUGAGACACGGCCCAGACUCCUACGGGAGGCAGCAGUAGGGAAUCUUCCGCAAUGGACGAAAGUCUGACGGAGCAACGCCGCGUGAGUGAUGAAGGUUUUCGGAUCGUAAAGCUCUGUUGUUAGGGAAGAACAAGUACCGUUCGAAUAGGGCGGUACCUUGACGGUACCUAACCAGAAAGCCACGGCUAACUACGUGCCAGCAGCCGCGGUAAUACGUAGGUGGCAAGCGUUGUCCGGAAUUAUUGGGCGUAAAGGGCUCGCAGGCGGUUUCUUAAGUCUGAUGUGAAAGCCCCCGGCUCAACCGGGGAGGGUCAUUGGAAACUGGGGAACUUGAGUGCAGAAGAGGAGAGUGGAAUUCCACGUGUAGCGGUGAAAUGCGUAUAGAUGUGGAGGAACACCAGUGGCGAAAGCGACUCUCUGGUCUGUAACUGACGCUGAGGAGCGAAAGCGUGGGGAG